This 495-nucleotide ribosomal RNA is filed under the name uncultured bacterium. RNAcentral's name for it is "bacterial SSU rRNA". It matches the Rfam family "Bacterial small subunit ribosomal RNA", at positions 899 to 1397 of the family's 1533-position model. The record is from RNAcentral.
ACUCAAAGGAAUUGACGGGGACCCGCACAAGCAGUGGAGUAUGUGGUUUAAUUCGAAGCAACGCGAAGAACCUUACCAGGGCUUGACAUGGGGACGCAAGGUAUAGAGAUAUACCCCUCUUCGGACGUCCCACACAGGUGGUGCAUGGUUGUCGUCAGCUCGUGUCGUGAGAUGUUGGGUUAAGUCCCGCAACGAGCGCAACCCUUAUUGUUAGUUGCUACCAUUAAGUUGAGCACUCUAACGAGACUGCCGGUGACAAAUCGGAGGAAGGUGGGGACGACGUCAAAUCAUCAUGCCCCUUAUGUCCUGGGCUACACACGUACUACAAUGGCCGUCAACAACGGGCAGCGAAACCGCGAGGUGGAGCAAAUCCCCAAAAACGGCCUCAGUUCAGAUUGCAGGCUGAAACUCGCCUGCAUGAAGUAGGAAUUGCUAGUAAUCGCGAAUCAGCAUGUCGCGGUGAAUACGUUCCCGGGUCUUGUACACACCGCCCGU